AGCUUUGUGCAGUGGCAGUAUCAUAGCCAACAAGGUUUAUCCGAGGCGUGAUUAUUGCUAAUUGAAAACUUAAGACCUGAAUGAAAGCUUUGCCACUCCUUACAUAUAAUAGGC
This 114-nucleotide small nuclear RNA is filed under the name Mus caroli (Ryukyu mouse). Its description in RNAcentral is "snRNA (MGP_CAROLIEiJ_G0035592.1)". The stretch from base 1 to 82 matches the Rfam family "U4 spliceosomal RNA". From Rfam's summary of the family: U4 small nuclear RNA (U4 snRNA) is a component of the major U2-dependent spliceosome. The structure of U4 snRNA from yeast and human has been reported. U4 snRNA presents a k-turn RNA motif in the 5p-SL related to recognition of Snu13 protein. Lineage: Eukaryota; Metazoa; Chordata; Mammalia; Rodentia; Muridae. The record is from RNAcentral.